GAUGAAGAACGUAGCGAAAUGCGAUAAGUAAUGUGAAUUGCAGAAUUCAGUGAAUCAUCGAAUCUUUGAACGCACCUUGCGCCCUUUGGUAUUCCUUAGGGCAUGCCUGUUCGAGCGUCAUUUAAACCUUCAAGCUCAGCUUGGUGUUGGGUGACUUUCCGCUUCACCGCGGACUCGCCUCAAAAUUAUUGGCGGCCGGUACAUUGGCUUCGAGCGCAGCAGAAACGCGAACUCGGGCCCGUCGUAUUGGCUCCCAGAAGCUAUCUUCACAAUUUUGACCUCGGAUCAGGUAGGGAUACCCGCUGAACUUAAGCAUAUCAUAAGCGGAGGA
Molecule: unclassified non-coding RNA, 331 nt
Filed under: soil metagenome
Description: partial contains 5.8S ribosomal RNA, internal transcribed spacer 2, and large subunit ribosomal RNA
Rfam family: 5.8S ribosomal RNA (bases 1-120)
Source: RNAcentral